RNAcentral lists this signal recognition particle RNA (299 nucleotides) under Cyprinus carpio (common carp). Its description in RNAcentral is "Metazoan signal recognition particle RNA". It matches the Rfam family "Metazoan signal recognition particle RNA". From Rfam's summary of the family: The signal recognition particle (SRP) is a universally conserved ribonucleoprotein. The record is from Rfam by way of RNAcentral. Lineage: Eukaryota; Metazoa; Chordata; Actinopteri; Cypriniformes; Cyprinidae.
GCCGGGUGCAGUGGCGCGCGCCUGUAAUCCAAGCUGCUGGGAGGCUGAGGCUGGCGGAUCGCUUGAGUUCAGGGGUUCUGGGCUGCAGUGGACUAUGUCGAUCGGGUGUCCGCGCUAAGUUCGGUAUCGAUAUGGUGCUCCUGGGGGAGCUCGGGACCACCAGGUCGUCUAAGGAGGGGUGAACCGGCCCAGGUCGGAGACGGAGCAGGUCAAAGCCCCCGUGCCGAUCAGUAGCGGGAUCGCGCCUGUGAAUAGACACUGCAGUGCAGCCUGAGCGAUACAGCGAGACUCAGACUUUU